Molecule: RNA transcript, 3220 nt
Organism: Oncorhynchus kisutch (coho salmon)
Lineage: Eukaryota; Metazoa; Chordata; Actinopteri; Salmoniformes; Salmonidae
Gene name: protein adenylyltransferase FICD-like
Exons: 2
Source: RefSeq, a predicted model, not a curated record
AUGCACUGCAAGACCCAGCUGGAGGCCAAGGCAGCGCUGCAACAGGCUGUCAGAUGAAGAAGCAGGGGAAGAGGGAAAAGGCCCUCAAGCUGCUGGUGCAUGCGCUCAACAUGAACCCGGACUUUGUGGAAGCUCUAACAGAGCUGGGGACCAUUCUGGAGGAGGAGAAGGAUGUUGUUCAAGCAGACCACCUAUAUACCAAGGCCCUGGCCAUCUCACCAUGCAACGAGAAGGCCCUGGCCAUCUCACCAUGCAACGAGAGGGCCCUGGUUAGCAGUGACCGCACACUCCCCCUGGUGGAGGAGAUCGACCAACGCCACUUUGGGGUUAUUGACAGUAAAGUAAGCAGUAUGAUGUCCAUCCCCAAGGGUAACUCUGCCCUUAGACGUGUCAUGGAGGAAACCUACUAUUACCACAUCUACCACACCGUGGCUAUAGAGGGCAACACACUCACUCUGUCUGAGAUCCGCCACAUCAUUGAGACUCGCUACGCCGUGCCCGGCAAGAGCCUCCAAGAGCAGAACGAGGUCAUUGGUGUGGACGCAGCCAUGAAGUACAUUAACACCACGCUGCUGUCCCUCACUGUCAAUGACAUCCUGGAGAUCCACCGGCGUGUGCUGGGCUACGCAGACCCUGUAGAGGGUGGGCGGCUGCGUACCAGCCAGGUUUUUGUAGGCCACCACAUCUCACCCCACCCACAUGAGCUGGUGCAGUGGCUCAACCCAGAGGAGGCCCUGCAGCUGCACCCUUUGGAAUCCGCAGCGCUCACCCAUUACAAGCUGGUGUAUGUGCACCCCUUUGUGGACGGAAACGGGUGCACGUCACGGCUGCUAAUGAACCUGGUGCUCAACCAGGCACGCUACCCACCCAUCAUUGUACGCAAAUUUCAGAGUACUCCACUGCUCUGGACACAGCCAACAAGGGUGACGUCCGCUUCAUAGCCAAAUGCACAGAGAUCAUCCUGGAUACCCUGCUAAUCGCCACCACUGAGCACAGUGUGGGGCUGCCUGGCUCCAGCCACCACCAGGCCUGUCCCGACUGCAAACAAACCACCCCUGUCCACAACAGUGAGGGGACGGGAGUGAGUGGCGCAUGACUGUUUGGCUUUGUAUUUCUCUUUAUUUAGAUUUGCCAGUUUGGGGUUAAUCUUGCUCUAAGUGUAAAGAUAUGUCAGUUGGUUUAUGGAUAAAGAGCAGCUCUGUGUCAAUGAUAGCAUGACCUUGAACGUUUUUACUAGGAGAAUGCAUCUUUACAGAAAUUAACAUUCCCAUAUCUCAUGGUUUGUUUCCUCAUAUCAGGUAGAGGUGCAGCCGUUUGAACUAAUUAUUACGUAUGUGUUGUGAAUAGAAAACAUGUUUUCAGCUGCAGAUUGUUGUCCGUAUAGGGAUAAUAAGGGUCACAUGUUUCUAACAUUGAAUAAACAUAAGGGUCAUGAACUUGUUGGUGCACAGACACAAAUGGACCUGUUUCAUACUCUUGCCAAAGCUACUCAUUGUUUUUAGUGUCGGUUCUAAAGGACAUUUAGGCCUAUAAUUCUGAAUUUGCAUUCUAUUCAUCUGAGUUAUUUUGAUGAGUGAAUGCGUUACAUUAACUGAAGGUGUUACAGUAUGUGUACAUGUCUGAGAUGAUUGAGUUGUGAUUCUGCUUUGAAUUGUCCCCCUUAAGAAAUACAGUGCACAGUAGAUCACUUGCGGUGUGUUGAUUCAACAUGUAGAAUGUUCUGUGGUCAGGCGAUAGGCAGGCCAACAGUCGUGUUAUUCUGUCUUGUCAUUUUGAGAACAUGGUUUGCAUCAAUGUAAUAUACAGUACUAUACUAUACAGUAACUCAUCUGGGUCAUACUGUCUGCUAUUUCACUGAAGAACUUUUAUGUAUUUAAUCGUUUAUUUUAAUGUAAUUAGGGCCUUUUCGGCCCUAAAUGUGAUAUACUUAGUUUCAAAACUCAACAUCUAUUUGAAUUGCUUUAAUAAACAACUUAAGGUCAGAAAUGGCAACAAAACCACAAGAUGACAUUUUUACAAGACUCAUAUCACAAGUGUAAAACUUGGAACAAGCGGUAAAUAAAAGAAUCACUGAACAAAAGUAAAAACAAGCUCAAUCUCACAGGGUUGCGCUGACACUUUUGUAACUAAAAAAGAAGCUAUUUCUAGUUUACAUUUGCGUUCUCGUAAUAGAAAAAUGUGAACACCAUGACAAUGAUUUCAAAAUUACAACACAAUGUACACCAUAUAUUGGACAAACAGAAAGCAACUUCUAAAGCUCAAAUGUUUGUAGUCUCUAACUAGAUUAGGCCACUGUGGUGAUAGAACGUCGUUAGAUAUAGCUAAUAAUUCUCAAACAUACAAAUGUAUUACAAAACUAUGGCCAAUCACUUGGAGUGUGUGAAUUCUGAACACACAUGACGUUCCCCACUCAUCCAAACAGGAUUACUGGUCGACAGAAUUGUUAAUGACCACAUUCAUUUGAAAGGCAAAUGAGAUUUAGGAAUUUAGUUCAAACCUUUACAUUCCCACGAUGUAAUUUAUUGAACUUAUCAAAUCUGCCUACAAUAUGUGGACAUGGAGGGCUCUUGCAAUCAAAACCGCUGCAUAGAUUCUUUCUCCCAACAAUGGUUGAUUCACUUGUGGACAGGACUGGUUAGAAUGAGAUGACAAAAGCCAAGGCCCUUUAGUGCUUCUCCAAACUGUCAGUUCAUUCCCUACCCAUCUCAUAGUUUAUUCAAUACCCUAGACAGGAAUGAGCAAAUUGGAAACAAUCUCAGGAAUAAAUGAGAAUACAUUUUUUAGUAUUCCCUUCUAACCUUUCUAAACAGCCUAAACAUGAUGGGUUUAAUGAGUCAGACAACCUUACAUUACAGUGCCACCAAAGAAGUCCCAGUAAGGGAAAAAUAAAGGAUUAUGUUUUUAUGGGCAAAGACUUAAAAUAGUCUAAAUGUGAGCACAGAACUGGUGAGGAAUGAUUUCUGGCCAGUGCAUAUGCAAAUUAAUUAUUUGUACAACUGCAGUUUUAGGUAAUAUUCUGUAAAGCGAAGCAUUAGUCAUUCACUGCAUGGGAACAAAUAUUGUGAUUCAAACGAUCUGUUUGGAUAGGGCAAAAAAAAAAAAAAGUGGUAUGUUGACACCUUAAGGAAACUUAACACACAAAAAAAAUUGUUCAUUGUUGUAAUACAUAUUUACACAUACAUCAAUGUCAAGCUCUUGCAUAUACCUUUAAAACAUGAGU